CGAUGCCCAAGAGAUCGGGAUAACACCUGGAAACAGAUGCUAAUACCGGAUAACAACAGAUGAUGCCUAUCAACUGUUUAAAAGAUGGUUCUGCUAUCACUCUUGGAUGGACCUGCGGUGCAUUAGCUAGUUGGUAGGGUAACGGCCUACCAAGGCGAUGAUGCAUAGCCGAGUUGAGAGACUGAUCGGCCACAUUGGGACUGAGACACGGCCCAAACUCCUACGGGAGGCAGCAGCG
This 238-nucleotide ribosomal RNA is filed under the name uncultured Lactobacillus sp. Its description in RNAcentral is "partial 16S ribosomal RNA". It matches the Rfam family "Bacterial small subunit ribosomal RNA", at positions 126 to 356 of the family's 1533-position model. The record is from RNAcentral. Lineage: Bacteria; Bacillati; Bacillota; Bacilli; Lactobacillales; Lactobacillaceae.